UACGAAGGGGGCUAGCGUUGCUCGGAAUCACUGGGCGUAAAGCGCACGUAGGCGGCUUUCUAAGUCAGGGGUGAAAUCCCAGAGCUCAACUCUGGAACUGCCUUUGAUACUGGGUAUCUCGAGUAUGGAAGAGGUGAGUGGAAUUCCGAGUGUAGAGGUGAAAUUCGUAGAUAUUCGGAGGAACACCAGUGGCGAAGGCGGCUCACUGGUCCAUUACUGACGCUGAGGUGCGAAAGCGUGGGGAGCAAACAGG
Molecule: ribosomal RNA, 253 nt
Filed under: uncultured bacterium
Lineage: Bacteria
Description: partial 16S ribosomal RNA
Rfam family: Bacterial small subunit ribosomal RNA
Source: RNAcentral